AUCGAUCUUGAGGAUAUUUGUUUGGGACACACUGAUUACUAGUGUUCUGGUUGGUCCAAUUCGAACUAUUAUUAUUGUUUGUCUUUCCCUUUCCUUUUUUUCUCCUUCUAUUUUUUAUUUUGUUUUCCCCUAGGCUUUCAUGCUGUGACGCUAAUUAGCAGUUACCUCUCUUUGUCGCGCCACACUAAAGCUUUCUCAAUAGGCAACAAUUCUUGCCUAGGGUGUCAAGUGUUGUGGGCCUGCCACUGCCGAGAAUCCCUCGAACUCCUUUCCCCUGCCUCAUCAUCCCAAUCGUUGGUAGGCUCCUCCGAUAACCUUUUCUUCCCAAGCGCCGGUCGUCCUCCUCCUCAAGGCCAUCGACUGGUGCUUGUUUUUAUGAUCUAUUAAAUGAAAAUACAAGUUCCAUCAAAAUUCUUCAAAGUCAAAACCAUUACAUCCGUCAUCCGUCCCUUGACAUAUCUCCAUGUCUCUGAUAACGAAACUGCAGAAGACCAUACCUCCACAAAUCACGCGAACCUCAUAGAUUCUGAUUAGCCACAUGACUUGUCGCCCCAAAUGAUCAGAACCUAAGAUCGUUGACCGCAGUAUGGCUGUGGUCUGGGGACACAGCCCUCGUAAGGCAAGUCGAAUCGCUGAUUCUUCAUCCAAUCGAAGAGAAAGAGGACC
This 666-nucleotide long non-coding RNA is filed under the name Brachypodium distachyon (stiff brome). Its description in RNAcentral is "long non-coding RNA (BDIS_LNC001904)". The record is from RNAcentral. Lineage: Eukaryota; Viridiplantae; Streptophyta; Magnoliopsida; Poales; Poaceae.